This 525-nucleotide ribosomal RNA is filed under the name fungal sp. AM2013. Its description in RNAcentral is "eukaryotic LSU rRNA". The stretch from base 159 to 311 matches the Rfam family "5.8S ribosomal RNA". The record is from RNAcentral. Lineage: Eukaryota; Fungi.
GGGUCCAACCUCCCACCCGUGUUUAUUUACCUCGUUGCUUCGGCGGGCCCGCCUUAACUGGCCGCCGGGGGGCUCACGCCCCCGGGCCCGCGCCCGCCGAAGACACCCCCGAACUCUGCCUGAAGAUUGUCGUCUGAGUGAAAAUAUAAAUUAUUUAAAACUUUCAACAACGGAUCUCUUGGUUCCGGCAUCGAUGAAGAACGCAGCGAAAUGCGAUACGUAAUGUGAAUUGCAAAUUCAGUGAAUCAUCGAGUCUUUGAACGCACAUUGCGCCCCCUGGUAUUCCGGGGGGCAUGCCUGUCCGAGCGUCAUUGCUGCCCUCAAGCCCGGCUUGUGUGUUGGGCCCCGUCCUCCGAUUCCGGGGGACGGGCCCGAAAGGCAGCGGCGGCACCGCGUCCGGUCCUCGAGCGUAUGGGGCUUUGUCACCCGCUCUGUAGGCCCGGCCGGCGCUUGCCGAUCAACCCAAAUUUUUAUCCAGGUUGACCUCGGAUCAGGUAGGGAUACCCGCUGAACUUAAGCAUAUCA